AUACUGCACAUGUGCAACUCUUUUUGUCUAACUAUUAACCAAUUCCCCAAAACUCAACUACAUCACAAAAUAGAAAUUUGGGAGACCAUUUUCUUGAAAGUGAAUGCUAAAGUAAGGAUUUAUUGAACUCCAUGGAUUGUUAGAGUAUCUUAACUUACAAAUUGUGGAAGUGAAUCUCUUCUAUAAAUAUAAGGAUACACACACUUGUUGUCAAUGUUGAAGUCGACUAAGCAUCUUAUCUUUCAUUAAAUUUUAGUCACUGAAUGCAAUCUUAGAGAAUGUUUCUCAGAAACCACUGAUCUAUCGGUCUCAAAAUAGAUUCAAUUUCAGGGUCUCUGCUACAACUCAAGUAUCUAUACAGGAUGGGGCAUAUAUAUCCUCCCGAUUUUAAGCAUAAAACUGUAGCCUUUUUCCGAACUUAGCACUUGCUCACAUCUGACAGCCCUUACUGAGUUCUACUUUCAUUAAACAUAAACUCUAUCAAUGAUAGUCUUGAACAUAAACUGUAUAAUGACAGUAACACAGUUUUCUCACGCGUCACAAGAAAUCACUUAUAAAUUGUGGUCUUUCCCUAUUAAUCAGGUAUUUAUUUUUCCAAUAUAUUGAUAUUAGUCAUUGUAUAUUACAACAGCUGUAUUUAGGUGAACUCUAAAGCAGAAAUUUAUGAUGUUCAAAGUUUUUUAAUGUACACAGAAGAAUUCAAGGAAACGAAUGGAAACCGCAUUGUCACUAUUCUCUAUAGUCUCGGCUAGACAAAUCUAAAGGCUUGAAGGUGUCACUGAACCAUUAAUUGAAUUCUAUAUCUGGAGUGCUUAUUGGUUUCUUAAAGAACAUCUGUUUCCUUCCAAUCAUUGUUAAACGAAACAUCCCUUUGAAUAGACAUACCUAGAGUAAGACUCUUACACGGUGAUUAUGGAAUCAUAAUGACUCCAAAACAUGAUAGCAUUUCCAGAAACCAAUCGUGUCGACUUAAUUCUAUUCCAAAUAACAUAAUUCUCUAAUGAAUAUUUUGAACCCCACAAUUCAAUGCUCCACUUAUUCAGUCAAAAGUUUCCAUAAAUGCAAAUCCAAGUUGAUAUAAUUCCAGCAUAGAAAUCCCAGAAACACAAAUU
Molecule: long non-coding RNA, 1112 nt
Filed under: Olea europaea (common olive)
Lineage: Eukaryota; Viridiplantae; Streptophyta; Magnoliopsida; Lamiales; Oleaceae
Description: long non-coding RNA (OEUR_LNC013233)
Source: RNAcentral